UACGAAGGGUGCAAGCGUUACUCGGAAUUACUGGGCGUAAAGCGUGCGUAGGCGGUUUGUUAAGUCUGUCGUGAAAGCCCCGGGCUCAACCUGGGAAUGGCGAUGGAUACUGGCGAGCUAGAGUACGGUAGAGGAGAGUGGAAUUCCCGGUGUAGCAGUGAAAUGCGUAGAGAUCGGGAGGAACAUCAGUUGCGAAGGCGGCUCUCUGGACCAGUACUGACGCUGAGGCGCGAAAGCGUGGGGAGCAAACAGG
This 253-nucleotide ribosomal RNA is filed under the name uncultured bacterium. RNAcentral's name for it is "partial 16S ribosomal RNA". It matches the Rfam family "Bacterial small subunit ribosomal RNA", at positions 524 to 776 of the family's 1533-position model. The record is from RNAcentral.